ACCCGCUGAAUUUAAGCAUAUCAAUAAGCGGAGGAAAAGAAACCAACAGGGAUUGCCUUAGUAACGGCGAGUGAAGCGGCAAAAGCUCAAAUUUGAAAUCUGGCACCUUCGGUGUCCGAGUUGUAAUUUGAAGAAGGUAACUUUGGAGUUGGCUCUUGUCUAUGUUCCUUGGAACAGGACGUCACGGAGGGUGAGAAUCCCGUGCGAUGAGAUGCCCAAUUCUAUGUAAAGUGCUUUCGAAGAGUCGAGUUGUUUGGGAAUGCAGCUCUAAGUGGGUGGUAAAUUCCAUCUAAAGCUAAAUAUUGGCGAGAGACCGAUAGCGAACAAGUACAGUGAUGGAAAGAUGAAAAGAACUUUGAAAAGAGAGUGAAAAAGUACGUGAAAUUGUUGAAAGGGAAGGGCUUGAGAUCAGACUUGGUAUUUUGCGAUCCUUUCCUUCUUGGUUGGGUUCCUCGCAGCUUACUGGGCCAGCAUCGGUUUGGAUGGUAGGAUAAUGACUAAGGAAUGUGGCUCUACUUCGGUGGAGUGUUAUAGCCUUGGUUGAUACUGCCUGUCUAGACCGAGGACUGCGUCUUUUGACUAGGAUGUUGGCAUAAUGAUCUUAAGCCACCCGUCUUGAAACACGGACCAAGGAG
Molecule: ribosomal RNA, 635 nt
Filed under: uncultured yeast
Lineage: Eukaryota; Fungi
Description: eukaryotic LSU rRNA
Rfam family: Eukaryotic large subunit ribosomal RNA
Source: RNAcentral